UACGAAGGGGGCUAGCGUUGCUCGGAAUCACUGGGCGUAAAGCGCACGUAGGCGGACUCUUAAGUCGGUGGUGAAAUCCUGGAGCUCAACUCCAGAACUGCCUUCGAUACUGGGAGUCUCGAGUCCGGGAGAGGUGAGUGGAACUGCGAGUGUAGAGGUGAAAUUCGUAGAUAUUCGCAAGAACACCAGUGGCGAAGGCGGCUCACUGGCCCGGUACUGACGCUGAGGUGCGAAAGCGUGGGGAGCGAACAGG
RNAcentral lists this ribosomal RNA (253 nucleotides) under uncultured bacterium. Its description in RNAcentral is "partial 16S ribosomal RNA". It matches the Rfam family "Bacterial small subunit ribosomal RNA", at positions 524 to 776 of the family's 1533-position model. The record is from RNAcentral.